GAGGGCGGGGCUCCGGGAGGAAGGAGGAUAGGGAUUGGCGGGGGGCGGGGCUCCGGAAUAGGAAAAAAGGAGCAAUGCUCCGGGAGGAAGGAGGACAGGGGUUGGCGGGGAGGCGGGGCUCCGGAGAAAGGCCGGCGGUGGGGCGGGGCUCCAGGAGGAGGAAGGAGGGGGCAGGGCUACGGGAGGAAAGGGGAGGGGCUGCGGGAGGAAGGCUGGCGGUGGGGCGAGGCUCCCGGAGGAAGGAGGAAGGGGGCGGGGCCCCGGGAGGAAAGAGGAAGGAGCAUACACACUGGCGGUGGGACAGGGAUCCGGAGGAAGGAGGAAAAGGGCAGGGCUCCUGGAGGAAGCAAGGCGGGGCGCGGAACUCCAGGAAGGGCGGGUGGGCCUAGGGGUCCCUACAGCCCCUGUACGCUAGACACCCCGUGCUUCAGCCCAGAGAGGUGGUCCUCACUGUGCUCGGCGUCCUCCGUCCCCGGGUCAGUACACAGAGGUGUCCCCACUGUGGUCGGCGUCCUCUGUCCCCGGGUCAGCACACGGGGCGUCCUCACUGUGGUCAGCGUCCCCAUCCCCCGGGGUCAGCACACCGGGUGUCCUCACUGUGGUCGGCAUCCUCCAUCCCUGGGUCAGCAUACAGGAUGUCCCCAGUGUGGUCGGGGACCUCCGUCCCCCAGGUCGGCACACGGGGUGUCCCCACUGUGGUCGGCGUCCUCCGUCCCCGGGUUGGCACACAGAGGUGUCCUCACUGUGGUGCGCGUUCUCCGUCCCCCGGGUCAACACAUGGAGGUGUCCCCCCCAGGGCCCGUGGUCUGCGGGAGCUGCAAGUGGCGCCCCCAGGGCAGAGCGUGGUGCUGUCCGGGCUCCGUCCCCGCGUCCGGGCGGGCAGGUCGGUCAUCAGGGAGCGGGCCGUGGGGUCCGGCAGCAGCGGCAGGCCCCGCCCUCCGCCUGGGCAUCAGGUGUGCAGGAGUCGGACGGUCGGCGGCGUUGUCCGGGUGACCGAGGCUGAGCGCGGACAGGCAGGCUCGGGCCGGUGGGUGCGCGCCGCGGGCUCCUCCGCAGCGGUUCCGGCCGCCGAGACGGAAAGAAGCACCGGGUAGGCUCCGGGGUGCGGGAAGCGACACGGCGUCGACGUGGGCUCGUGAGCCGCUCGGCCGGGACACGUGGCAGCGACGCAUGCGCCUGCCGCCCGCCGUUUCCGCUCUCCGGGGCCCGCGCCCAGGGGUGAGGGAGCCUCGGGUGGGGCAGCGGGAGGCGGGGUCCUGGGCCGAAGGGUCCGCGGCGAUGGCCCCGAGAGGAGAGCAGAGCGUGUCG
Molecule: long non-coding RNA, 1308 nt
Filed under: Canis lupus familiaris (dog)
Lineage: Eukaryota; Metazoa; Chordata; Mammalia; Carnivora; Canidae
Description: lncRNA (ENSCAFG00000056852.1)
Source: RNAcentral